RNAcentral lists this ribosomal RNA (253 nucleotides) under uncultured bacterium. RNAcentral's name for it is "partial 16S ribosomal RNA". It matches the Rfam family "Bacterial small subunit ribosomal RNA", at positions 524 to 776 of the family's 1533-position model. The record is from RNAcentral.
UACGUAGGUGGCAAGCGUUAUCCGGAAUUACUGGGCGUAAAGCGCACGCAGGCGGUCUUGUAAGUUUGACGUGAAAGCUCCCGGCUUAACUGGGAGAGGUCGUUGAAGACUGCAAGACUUGAGGAAAUGAGAGGGGUGUAGAAUUCCCGGUGUAGUGGUGGAAUGCGUAGACAUCGGGGGGAAUACCAGUGGCGAAAGCGGCACCCUAGCAUUUUUCUGACGCUCAUGUGCGAAAGCGUGGGGAGCGAACGGG